GUUAUUGUUGUCGUUGUUGAUAUUGUCGUCUUCUUUUUCAUCGAUUUGCAUUCACAUUUUUGUUUUCUCUUUUUUUCUUAUUUAUAUUUUCGUUUGUUUUUUUUCUCUCAACGACACUCUUCGUUCACUGUGCCGUGUGAUUCCACCUAACCACGUUUCUCACAAGUGUGAGUGACAACGUGCGCGAUAGAAUUUUCUGCGAGGGGAUACACGAGUUUUCAUCGUGUACGCAAAAGGUACCCAUUCCCGGAACGCAAGAGAGACCCAGCAUGGCCGCCUAGCACAAGACGAGUCAGAGUUCCUUGCCGGUGUCCACACUACAACGGCAGUAUGCUCUCUGUCUCCUUCCCUCUCUUCAUCCCUUUCGCUCUCUGUUUCUGUCCGCCUUCUCCCGCCAUGUAUUCAAAGAGUACUCACUCGUGCUCUGUCUUCUUUACUCCCAUAUAUACGCAUACAGAUGCAUCACAAUCCGUCUUCGUUUUUGCACAAUGUUGUUGCUCUCGUUGCGUCGCUUUCUCGCUUUCUGUUCCAUGCUUUUCCCUCGCAGUUCGUUCCUACAUCUAUCUUAUUCGCUUCUUCUCUUCGUUUCGUAUACACGCUUUACGGAUUCGUCUUUCUCUCUUUCUCGUGUCUGUCCGUUUUCUCUUUCACUCCCUUUCUCUCCCAGUUUCUGCAUCUCUCUUUCGUUCUUGUCCCCUGAUCGCGCCUUUCAUUCGAAAAUAGAACGUCAGCACGCGUGCCGCGCACAUUUUUCCUCAUGAAAACACCGAAUUCCCACUCGCUGACACGCGCGCGCGACACAGACCAAGCGAGCACUCGUGCUGUAUUCUAACCUCACUUUCCGUGAAAAAAUUCUGCGGAUUGAUCGAUAUUGAUUUUAUUAACACGUGUAAACCAACGUCUUUAAUUUAUUGUUGUUAUUAUUCAAUUAAAUAUAUAUCAAAAUAAAGGAACUUUUAUUAACUUAUUAACCAUAUCACUUAAUAUCAUGUAGACAGCAUGCGUUUUUCAUUCAGCCAAUCAUAAUUUACGACUGUGUCUAAUAGAGGCGCUAUUUACCGUACCGGCAAAAUUUUUCUGCGUCCUUAGAUGGCGCAUUCAGUUGCUCUUGGGAAGCCAUACACGAAGUGUCUGUAUCAGUAGUUUUCGAUCAAAUUGCGAAGUGUCAAAUGCAUCAGAACCGAUGAAAUAUUUUUAUUGUGACAAUAAGACAUAAUAGUAGAGUCAGUUGAUCUUUCGUUUAUCGUCUAUCGGCUUUGUUACGGUCAGACGGAGUCAGACGAUAUUCUGGCGGGAGACUCGUAAAAAUAGUGUCUUCGUCGUUUCCUCCCUUCGACUCCGUGACUAUAAUUAGCGGGAUUCGCGUUUUCUACGUAAACAAAUAUUCAUCGGUUGUGUUGUGUCAGCCACUUUUCUCGUUGUUCGUGAUUUCCUGUUCGAUAAAGUGCAUUGAAUAAACAUCGCGAAACACGACUAUCCGGCCAGUCACCGAUGUCAUGGCUAAAGUCCACGACUAUCGAUGCUACAUGAGUUUUGCAUUAGGAGAGUGUGGACAGUAGAAACAGACCACUCUGCCUGUUCUCGACCACCAUCCCUUUUCCUCCUUCGUGAUUCUAUGUUGGCGUAUUCUAGGAGACGAUGCCUGUAGCGGAGAAGUGGACUGAACUAUUCAUGUCCGACGACCGUUCAUAAAAAUAGGAUUUUAGCGAUUUCUCUCCCUACGAUGCUGCGCUUAAUGGAACCUCUAACGUGCUUGACACAUCGUAACCCUUCCUCGAGGCCCAUAAACGCUUGACGAAGAGAUUCGCAGUGUUCGGAAGCGCGGUGAAGCGGGAACACCAGAGGAUGCGAGCAGCGGAGGCGCGUGUACUCGCGAAUGCUCGUCCGGCGAUCGUUCCUGACAACGAUCGGCACGGCUCGCGAUGAUGGCGGAGCGCGGUCGCGUAGCAGCGAUAUCGUGGUUCGAGUACGC
RNA transcript from Apis dorsata (giant honeybee), 1972 nucleotides. RefSeq lists it as uncharacterized. NCBI's taxonomy places the organism in Eukaryota, Metazoa, Arthropoda, Insecta, Hymenoptera, Apidae. The transcript is spliced from 2 exons. The record is from RefSeq and is a predicted model, not a curated record.